This 382-nucleotide ribosomal RNA is filed under the name uncultured bacterium. RNAcentral describes it as "bacterial SSU rRNA". It matches the Rfam family "Bacterial small subunit ribosomal RNA", at positions 518 to 898 of the family's 1533-position model. The record is from RNAcentral.
CGGUAAUACGUAGGGUGCGAGCGUUAAUCGGAAUUACUGGGCGUAAAGCGUGCGCAGGCGGAUUGUUAAGCAAGAUGUGAAAUCCCCGGGCUUAACCUGGGAAUGGCAUUUUGAACUGGCAGUCUAGAGUGUGUCAGAGGGGGGUGGAAUUCCACGUGUAGCAGUGAAAUGCGUAGAGAUGUGGAGGAACACCGAUGGCGAAGGCAGCCCCCUGGGAUAACACUGACGCUCAUGUACGAAAGCGUGGGUAGCAAACAGGAUUAGAUACCCUGGUAGUCCACGCCCUAAACGAUGUCAACUGGUUGUUGGGGGAGUGAAAUCCCUUAGUAACGAAGCUAACGCGUGAAGUUGACCGCCUGGGGAGUACGGUCGCAAGAUUAAA